AUUGAACGCUGGCGGCAUGCCUUACACAUGCAAGUCGAACGGCAGCGCGGGAGCAAUCCUGGCGGCGAGUGGCGAACGGGUGAGUAAUAUAUCGGAACGUGCCCAGUAGUGGGGGAUAGCCCGGCGAAAGCCGGAUUAAUACCGCAUGAGACCUGAGGGUGAAAGCGGGGGAUCGCAAGACCUCGCGCUAUUGGAGCGGCCGAUAUCAGAUUAGCUAGUUGGUGGGGUAAAGGCCUACCAAGGCAACGAUCUGUAGUUGGUCUGAGAGGACGACCAGCCACACUGGGACUGAGACACGGCCCAGACUCCUACGGGAGGCAGCAGUGGGGAAUAUUGGACAAUGGGGGCAACCCUGAUCCAGCCAUGCCGCGUGAGUGAAGAAGGCCCUCGGGUUGUAAAGCUCUUUUGUCCGGAAAGAAAGCAAUCGGUUAAUACCCGGUUGUUCUGACGGUACCGGAAGAAUAAGCACCGGCUAACUUCGUGCCAGCAGCCGCGGUAA
This 499-nucleotide ribosomal RNA is filed under the name uncultured bacterium. Its description in RNAcentral is "bacterial SSU rRNA". It matches the Rfam family "Bacterial small subunit ribosomal RNA", at positions 29 to 523 of the family's 1533-position model. The record is from RNAcentral.